This 769-nucleotide ribosomal RNA is filed under the name uncultured bacterium. RNAcentral describes it as "bacterial SSU rRNA". It matches the Rfam family "Bacterial small subunit ribosomal RNA", at positions 28 to 776 of the family's 1533-position model. The record is from RNAcentral.
AUUGAACGCUGGCGGCAGGCCUAACGCACGCAAGUCGAGCGGAAACGAGUUAUCAGAACCUUCGGGGGACGAUAACGGCGUCGAGCGGCGGACGGGUGAGUAAUGCCUAGGAAAUUGCCCUGAUGUGGGGGAUAACCAUUGGAAACGAUGGCUAAUACCGCAUGAUGCCUACGGGCCAAAGAGGGGGACCUUCGGGCCUCUCGCGUCAGGAUAUGCCUAGGUGGGAUUAGCUAGUUGGUGAGGUAAGGGCUCACCAAGGCGACGAUCCCUAGCUGGUCUGAGAGGAUGAUCAGCCACACUGGAACUGAGACACGGUCCAGACUCCUACGGGAGGCAGCAGUGGGGAAUAUUGCACAAUGGGCGCAAGCCUGAUGCAGCCAUGCCGCGUGUGUGAAGAAGGCCUUCGGGUUGUAAAGCACUUUCAGUUGUGAGGAAGGCGGUGUAGUUAAUAGCUGCAUCGUUUGACGUUAGCGACAGAAGAAGCACCGGCUAACUCCGUGCCAGCAGCCGCGGUAAUACGGAGGGUGCGAGCGUUAAUCGGAAUUACUGGGCGUAAAGCGCAUGCAGGUGGUUUGUUAAGUCAGAUGUGAAAGCCCGGGGCUCAACCUCGGAAUUGCAUUUGAAACUGGCAGACUAGAGUACUGUAGAGGGGGGUAGAAUUUCAGGUGUAGCGGUGAAAUGCGUAGAGAUCUGAAGGAAUACCGGUGGCGAAGGCGGCCCCCUGGACAGAUACUGACACUCAGAUGCGAAAGCGUGGGGAGCAAACAGG